This 483-nucleotide ribosomal RNA is filed under the name uncultured bacterium. RNAcentral describes it as "partial 16S ribosomal RNA". It matches the Rfam family "Bacterial small subunit ribosomal RNA", at positions 30 to 508 of the family's 1533-position model. The record is from RNAcentral.
AUUGAACGCUGGCGGCAUGAUUUACACAUGCAAGUCGAACGGUAACAGGCCGCAAGGUGCUGACGAGUGGCGAACGGGUGAGUAAUGCAUCGGAACGUGCCCAGUCGUGGGGGAUAACUACUCGAAAGAGUAGCUAAUACCGCAUACGAUCUAUGGAUGAAAGCGGGGGACCGUAAGGCCUCGCGCGAUUGGAGCGGCCGAUGUCAGAUUAGGUAGUUGGUGGGGUAAAGGCUCACCAAGCCAACGAUCUGUAGCUGGUCUGAGAGGACGACCAGCCACACUGGGACUGAGACACGGCCCAGACUCCUACGGGAGGCAGCAGUGGGGAAUUUUGGACAAUGGGCGCAAGCCUGAUCCAGCAAUGCCGCGUGCAGGAAGAAGGCCUUCGGGUUGUAAACUGCGUUUGUACGGAACGAAACGGCUCUGGUUAAUACCCGGGGCUAAUGACGGUACCGUAAGAAUAAGCACCGGCUAACUACGUGC